RNAcentral lists this ribosomal RNA (252 nucleotides) under uncultured bacterium. Its description in RNAcentral is "partial 16S ribosomal RNA". It matches the Rfam family "Bacterial small subunit ribosomal RNA", at positions 524 to 776 of the family's 1533-position model. The record is from RNAcentral.
UACGUAGGGGGCAAGCGUUGUCCGGAAUCAUUGGGCGUAAAGAGCGCGUAGGCGGUCCGGUAAGUCGGUUGUGAAAACUGGGGCUCAACCCUCAGAGGCCGACCGAUACUGUCGGGCUAGAGUCCGGAAGAGGCGAGUGGAAUUCCUGGUGUAGCGGUGAAAUGCAUUGAGAUCGGAAAGAACACCAACGGCGAAAGCACUCUGCUGGGCCGACACUGACACUGAGAGACGAAAGCUAGGGGAGCAAAUGGG